AUGGCUGUCGUCAGCUCGUGUCGUGAGAUGUUGGGUUAAGGUCCCGCAACGAGCGCAACCCCUAUCUUAUGUUGCCAGCACGUUAUGGUGGGGACUCGUAAGAGACUGCCGGGGUCAACUCGGAGGAAGGUGGGGACGACGUCAAGUCAUCAUGCCCCUUAUGUCCAGGGCUUCACACAUGCUACAAUGGCCAGUACAGAGGGCUGCGAGACCGUGAGGUGGAGCGAAUCCCUUAAAGCUGGUCUCAGUUCGGAUCGGGGUCUGCAACUCGACCCCGUGAAGUCGGAGUCGCUAGUAAUCGCAGAUCAGCAACGCUGCGGUGAAUACGUUCCCGGGCCUU
This 340-nucleotide ribosomal RNA is filed under the name uncultured Rhodococcus sp. RNAcentral's name for it is "bacterial SSU rRNA". It matches the Rfam family "Bacterial small subunit ribosomal RNA", at positions 1045 to 1382 of the family's 1533-position model. Lineage: Bacteria; Bacillati; Actinomycetota; Actinomycetes; Mycobacteriales; Nocardiaceae. The record is from RNAcentral.